RNAcentral lists this ribosomal RNA (1509 nucleotides) under uncultured Fidelibacterota bacterium. Its description in RNAcentral is "bacterial SSU rRNA". It matches the Rfam family "Bacterial small subunit ribosomal RNA". Lineage: Bacteria; Pseudomonadati; Fidelibacterota. The record is from RNAcentral.
AGAGUUUGAUCCUGGCUCAGGACGAACGCUGGCGGCGUGCUUAACACAUGCAAGUCAAGGAGAACGGAUCCUUCGGGAUACUAUUAAACUGGCGAACGGGUGAGUAACACGUAGGCAACCUGCCUUGGAGAUUGGGAUAACCCCGGGAAACCGGGACUAAUGCCAAAUAAUGCAGCGGAUCCUUCGGGAUAUGUUGUUAAAGUGGGCUUCGGCUCACACUUCAAGAUGGGCCUGCGUCCGAUUAGCUUGUUGGUGAGGUAAUGGCUCACCAAGGCGAUGAUCGGUAGCUGGUCUGAGAGGAUGAUCGGCCACACUGGGAUUGAGAUACGGCCCAGACUCCUACGGGAGGCAGCAGUGGGGAAUUUUGCGCAAUGGACGAAAGUCUGACGCAGCAACGCCGCGUGAUCGAUGAAGCUUUUAGGAGUGUAAAGAUCUGUCGUGAGGGAAGAAAAAUCUGGAUGUAAAUGAUGUUCAGACUUGACGGUACCUCAUAAGAAAGCACCGGCUAACUUUGUGCCAGCAGCCGCGGUAAUACGAGGGGUGCUAGCGUUGUCCGGAAUUACUGGGCGUAAAGGGUCCGUAGGCGUCUUGCCAAGUUGAUCGUUAAAUCCACCGGCUUAACCGGUGAUCUGCGAUCAAAACUGGCAGGAUAGAAUAUGUGAGGGGAAUGUGGAAUUCCUGGUGUAGCGGUGACAUGCGUAGAUAUCAGGAGGAACACCAAUGGCGAAGGCAGCAUUCUGGCACAAUAUUGACGCUGAGGGACGAAAGCGUGGGGAGCAAACAGGAUUAGAUACCCUGGUAGUCCACGCCGUAAACGAUGAGUACUUGGUGGUGGGGGAUUCGACCCCUUCACUAUCGGAGCUAACGCGUUAAGUACUCCGCCUGGGGAAUACGGCCGCAAGGUUAAAACUCAAAUGAAUUGACGGGGGCCCGCACAAGCGGUGGAGCAUGUGGUUUAAUUCGAUGCAACGCGAAGAACCUUACCAUCCCUUGACAUCCACAGAAGAGACUAGAGAUAGACUUGUGCCUUCGGGAACUGUGUGACAGGUGCUGCAUGGCUGUCGUCAGCUCGUGUCGUGAGAUGUUGGGUUAAGUCCCGCAACGAGCGCAACCCUCUUUUUCAGUUGCCAGCGGUUCGGCCGGGCACUCUGAAGAUACCGCCGGUGACAAGCCGGAGGAAGGCGGGGAUGACGUCAAGUCCUCAUGGCCCUUACAGGCUGGGCUACACACGUGCUACAAUGGCGGUUACAAUGGGCUGCAAUAGGGCGACCUGGAGCAAAUCCUCAAAAACCGUCUCAGUUCGGAUUGUUCUCUGCAACUCGAGAGCAUGAAGUCGGAAUCGCUAGUAAUCGCGGAUCAGCAUGCCGCGGUGAAUACGUUCCCGGGCCUUGUACACACCGCCCGUCACACCAUGGGAGUUGGUUUUACCUGAAGCCGGUGCGCUAACCUUCGGGAGGCACCCGACCACGGUAAGGUCAGCGACUGGGGUGAAGUCGUAACAAGGUAACC